This 495-nucleotide ribosomal RNA is filed under the name uncultured bacterium. Its description in RNAcentral is "partial 16S ribosomal RNA". It matches the Rfam family "Bacterial small subunit ribosomal RNA", at positions 28 to 505 of the family's 1533-position model. The record is from RNAcentral.
GAUGAACGCUGGUGGCGUGCCUAAUACAUGCAAGUCGAGCGAACGGACGAGAAGCUUGCUUCUCUGAUGUUAGCGGCGGACGGGUGAGUAACACGUGGAUAACCUACCUAUAAGACUGGGAUAACUUCGGGAAACCGUAGCUAAUACCGGAUAAUAUUUUGAACCGCAUGGUUCAAAAGUGAAAGACGGUCUUGCUGUCACUUAUAGAUGGAUCCGCGCUGCAUUAGCUAGUUGGUAAGGUAACGGCUUACCAAGGCAACGAUGCAUAGCCGACCUGAGAGGGUGAUCGGCCACACUGGAACUGAGACACGGUCCAGACUCCUACGGGAGGCAGCAGUAGGGAAUCUUCCGCAAUGGGCGAAAGCCUGACGGAGCAACGCCGCGUGAGUGAUGAAGGUCUUCGGAUCGUAAAACUCUGUUAUUAGGGAAGAACAUAUGUGUAAGUAACUGUGCACAUCUUGACGGUACCUAAUCAGAAAGCCACGGCUAACUACG